Non-coding RNA from Caenorhabditis elegans, 149 nucleotides. The record is from Ensembl. NCBI's taxonomy places the organism in Eukaryota, Metazoa, Nematoda, Chromadorea, Rhabditida, Rhabditidae.
AAACAUAAACGUCGUUGAAAAGGCGGAAUCGGAGACACCCUCGUUGAGUUACACGUAUUAGGAAAAUGUGAAAAAUAUACAGCUAUCAAAAAAUUAAUAAAAUUAGAAUGAUGUGGCACACGGUCCCGCAUAAUAGUCACAUUCAUGUU